UUCCCCGCCUUUCAAUAAGCUUCACGUGCAGAGCGAAAACCGACCUUGCCCCACCCCAGCAGCAGCCGGGAUCCGCUGGGAUUGAUUGGGAUGGAUGGUGGGGAUCCACUGGGAUCCACUGGGAUCACUGGGAUCGAUGAGAGUGAGUGGGAUGGGUGGUGGGGAUCCACAGGCACCAUUGGGAUCCACUGGGAUGGAGGGUGGGGAUCCACAGGGACCACUGGGAUCCACUGGAAGUGACUGGGAUGGAUGGUGGGGAUCCAUGGGGAUCCACUGGGAGUGACUGGGAUGGUUGGUGGGGAUCCACAGGGACCAUUGGGAUCCACUGGGAGUGACUGGGAUGGAUGGUGGGGAUCCAUGGGGAUCCACUGGGAGUGACUGGGAUGGAUGGUGGGGAUCCACUGGGAUAACUGGGAUCCACUGGGAUCAAUGAGAUUGACUGGGAUGGAUGGUGGGGAUCCACUGGGAUAACUGAUAUCCACUGGGAUUGAUGGUGGGGAUCCACUGGGAGUGACCGGGAUGGUUGGUGGGGAUCCACGGGGAUCCACUGGGAGUGACUGGGAUGGAUGGUGGGGAUCCACUGGGAUGGAGGGUGGGGAUCCAGUGGGAUCACUGGGAUCCACUGGGAGUGACUGGGAUGGAUGGUGGGGAUCACUGGGAUCCACUGGGAGUGACUGGGAUGGAUGGUGGGGAUCACUGGGAUCCACGGGGAUCACUGGGAUGGAGGGUGGGGAUCACUGGGAUCCCUGGGGAUCACUGGGAUCCAUGGGGAUCCCUGGGACGGAGGGUGGGGAUCCACAGGGAUCACUGGGAUGGAGGGUGGGGAUCCACGGGGAUCACUGGGAUCCACUGGGACGGAUGAUGGGGAUCCACAGGGAUCCACAGGGAUCAUGGGGAUCCCUGGGACGGAGGGUGGGGAUGUCCCCCACGGUCCCGGGGAGGAGCCGCGUCCUCGUGGCCUCGCUCCGUCACCUGCAACACAGAGAGGCGGCCCAGCUGAGUGCCCGGC
This 1009-nucleotide long non-coding RNA is filed under the name Lonchura striata (white-rumped munia). Its description in RNAcentral is "domestica (Bengalese finch) lncRNA (ENSLSDG00000003107.1)". Lineage: Eukaryota; Metazoa; Chordata; Aves; Passeriformes; Estrildidae. The record is from RNAcentral.